CAGGAUCACAGACGUUUAAAUUACACUCCUUCUGCUGCGCCUUACAGCAGUAGAAGGGGUGAAAUUUAAACGUCUGUGAUCCUG
This 84-nucleotide microRNA precursor is filed under the name Gorilla gorilla gorilla (western lowland gorilla). RNAcentral describes it as "miRNA (ENSGGOG00000037926.1, ENSGGOG00000042070.1)". It matches the Rfam family "mir-3179 microRNA precursor family". The record is from Rfam by way of RNAcentral. Lineage: Eukaryota; Metazoa; Chordata; Mammalia; Primates; Hominidae.